Molecule: long non-coding RNA, 6175 nt
Filed under: Sus scrofa (pig)
Lineage: Eukaryota; Metazoa; Chordata; Mammalia; Artiodactyla; Suidae
Description: lncRNA (ENSSSCG00030053608.1)
Source: RNAcentral
GAUGACCUCUAGGAGUUCGGACUCUCCAACAUGACCCAUCUUUUUCAUUGCAAUCAAAUACUGGCCAUGUAUAUCCAGGUAACAUUCAACCCCAUACCAUCACAUAUCUACGAAAUCACUUACUAAGAGAUGACUAAACUUAAGGACACUGAAAAAUAUUAACUCACAGAAUGUAUACAUAUGAUAUUCAUGUUUCAAAACUGACAAUCUUAAACAUGAGGCUUUUCGACAGUGCGAUAUACUAUGACUCACCUGAGAGUCCCCAAGUGUGCAAGACGAUGGAGAUGUCCUUUCCCUGAAUAUUCAAAUAAAAACCAUCUGACUCAUCUUGCAGGACUGCAGAUAAAUAUGUGUCUUUCACAUUCCUUUUUCUAAAUUUUCCCAAGACACGCGGAGGAUACUUACACCUUCUACUGCCCAAACUUAGGUAUCAUUACCCAUUUCCUCUUCUUUCAUAAGCCAUUUUCUCUGUUGUUGGCUAACUCAUAGAAUCCAAGGAGGGAUGGCAUCCCUAGAAAGGAUGUUGUUACCUUGGUGUCAGCUUCAGAGGAAGAAGCAGUUAUGCUCACAUCAUGAGCUCAGCACAACAUGGUUAAAGAAUCAUCUCAUAAUUUCCCUCAGCAGAGUUUCACCCAGGCUUCAAUGAUGAAUAAAGCUUCAUUUAAAAUUUAAAUAUAAGUCAAGGAGUAAGAAUAAUAAAAUUACCGUCAGUGUUAUCAGGGCUCCCCAAGAUCAUGGGCCAUGCCAUUCUGUGAGAAGUUCCCUACAUCUAACCUCCUUCCUUUAUCCUUGGCUCCAAGGCGGGGUCUGACUGAGGUCGACUCUGUGAAUCACGGUCUUUUCACUGUCUCUCCUCAUCCCCCGGUGGCCCUUGUCUCCUGUUCCUAUCACCCACCACCCGAAGCAACAAAGAUUCAGUUAGCCUAACAACCUCUCAGAAUAGUGAAGAGUCCUGUUAAGGAGAGUCUCCACUCAAAACUGAAUCUGGGGUCCCCACUGUGGCUCAGUGGGUUAAGGAUCCGGCAUUGCAGCAAGUUGCAGUGUAGGUUGCAGGUGCGGCUCAGAUCCAGUGUUGCUGUGGCUGUGGUGUAGACCUCAAAUGUAGCUUUGUUUCAACCCCUAGCCUGGGUACUUCCAUAUGCUGCAGGUGUGGCCAUAAAAAGAAAAAAAAAAACACCUAAAUCUUCCUCCCCCUGCCAACCUUCCUUCAUUGUAGAAUUCAUAAAUAGUUGCAUGUUUAAAAAGUGGGCCCACUGCAUGUAUUAAACCACUGCAGUCUAUGAGAAAAAAAAAUGUUCUUGGGGCUAAAAUGUGUUAUCCAUGCCACUUUUCAAAGGAAGAAGGAAGAGAGGCAGAGAAGCAAGUGGGGGAGAAAGGGAUGGUGUAGUUCUAGGGCUAGAAAAGGAAACACAGCAAAGAAGGGACACGAUGUCUUGCAAGACACAACUGGACCCUUGCUAUCCCACAGAACACUAGAAACUUCAGAGCAUUGUUAGCCUGUGCGUGCGUGUGGCUGUGGUUAUUUUCAUUAUGGUUAUGAUAUACGAGCCUAUAUGGAAUUCAGUAGAAUAUUACACAUAACAUGACACCGCAUUUUUAUGUCCUUAACGAUUGUAACGAUAAAGACAUGUUAAGAAAUUCUCGUGAAUUAUGUACAGGGAAAUACCAAAAGUGCAGCAAUUUUCCUCCUUUCCUUCUCUUUUUUUGGUAGGUUAGGAGCUGAGCAAAGGUCAACAGAACAUAGAAUGUCUAUCCGGAUACUCUCCAAUUGCCUGUUCCCACGUUCUAACGUCAGGGUACGAGUCCAAGGCUAUUUCACCAAGCUAACCCUCUAUCACUCUGGGACCAGCCACCAGGGAAUCUGGACCAAAGUGCCAGAACAGGAGCAGAGCAAGUUUGCAGGAGACCUAACUAGGCAGUUACUAAACACAGCAAGGAGGUGAAAGUAUCGCCCGCACGCUACAGGCUAUUUAGCGACCUCCAGGUUAAGAAAUGAAACUUGUCUGUGUUUGUAACACUGCCUCCACCCACCCCAUCUUCCGCCCCAGCCAGUUUCAGACCAUCACGUCUAAAACCUACAGAUUAGGAGCAAGGGGAGAAACGAAACGUGACUAACUGCGGUAUCACCCUAUCACCAAGGACUCACUCCGUGAUGCGUGCCCAUGACCGUUAGCAGAGGAAUUCCUCUGCGAGAUGAGCACCUAGAGGUUUGAUUGCCUUGAAUUUUAAGUUUGAUUUCAUUAAACCCGGCUCUCACAAAUACAAUCACGAUAACAAAAAGAUUUCUUGAGAGGAAGGUGUCCUCUUCCCUGUGCUCGGUCAUGCUUACAGGCACACAAACCGAAUUCUGGAAACGGAAGGGAAAGCUCAAUGUUCACAUGGUAAGGCGAGGCUGAGAGAGGAUAAGCCAUGUGUACAAGGCCACACCAGUGCUAAGAGUUAGGACGUGGCCCUCCACUUCCCAGCUACUGUGUUCUUACACGCACCCCAGUAAGCCUCCAAUGUCUGCAUACCUCAUAAGCACCAUGGGUGCUCUUGAAAGAGCCAAGCUCCUAGUCUCAUCCUCAGAGCAUCUUGGUUGCUAGAUCGGAUGGGACCUGGGACUCUGUAUUUCUACUGGGUGCCCCUUGUGAUUUCAAUGCAAACGGAUCACACUUUGGGACAGUGUGCAAUGCCAUCCGGCUGCUGAAAAGAGCACCAAAGUUUGCUCAUGAUCUUUAUACCCAUUUUUAUUCUCGUAGAACCCUUCUCUCUCACAUUUCUCCUUUGCUAACGGGCUCAUGAUUACGUCUGGCUUGUCACUAGGCAGAAAUCAUGUUUAAAACCUCAAUGCUUUAUAAACUCUACAGAGUAUUUUGUGUUGGGACGUGGAAAGAACCGUUUCCCACAGAGGGAGAUGGUGUAUCUUUUAAAGAACUGCACAAGUAAUGCGUGUACAUGUGCUCACUGAAAAAUUUUAACAGUGCAGCAUGAAUAGUACAAGUUCUACCUUCAUCCCUCCCCUAACCUCACUCCGCAAAGUUACUCACUGCUGUUAGAUACACACCGUUCAGAUUCUUCUAUACAUUUCCAUACUUGUGUGUGUGUUUGUCCUUUUACUUGUGGAAAGUUUUGCUUAUAGAAUGAUCUUGGCUUUUUUUUUUUUUUUUUUCCAUUACACAGGUGACAGAGGAUAUUGUCACUAGCACAGAACUUAAAUCAAGGACACCUCAGGAUACGUGACUGCUGCUGGUAAUUCUAGCAUCUGCCCUUGAUCUUUUUAAAAAUAAAGACUUCCUGGAUCUCACUCACCUUCCCAAAUACAUUUUGGUCAGUAAAUAGUGUUCCUCAGUUCUAUAAAAAUAUCCGUGAGGAUGCUAAAGGAACAGGAAAGGGCUGGCAGUCACAUAGUGUCAAUGUGUGACUACUAUGACAGAGUUCUCAGGUGAACAAGGCGCUAAGCUAAUUCAACUCCUUGUAAGCCCUGCAUGACUGAGAAUCUGAUUCUGUGAGAAGGGUUACGGGGGUGUGGCCAGGGCGGUCAAGGGGGUGCUGCUGCACAUUCACACAAAAUGUACAACAUUCCUCCUGCUUUGCCACUUUCUAAACCUCACAAUCCAAUUGCCACCUUCAGCACCCAAGUGAAAUGGCUCUUGUCAAGGUCACCCAAGACUCCUAACUACCGAACUUCAUUCUCUUGACUUCUGGCAGCAUUUUUUACUUAACAAUUUCUUCCUUCUGCAAAGACUCCUCCUCUCUUCUCUCUUUCCUGGUUCUGGUGAAACUGAGUAUUCAUGGUCCAUCUUUACCAGUGUCUCUGAAAUAUACCUUAGGAUUCCAUUCUAGGAGUGCUUAUUCUGGCUCUGUAUCCUCUGUCUGAUGGAGCUCAUGAAACCCCACAGCCUCGGCAAUGACACCCAGAUCUUCAUCUCCAGCUUCAUUGUACACAGAGCUCAGGGCUCACCUUCUUAGGAGCACCUGCAACUCAAACAGCACCUCUGCCAGCAAACCGGUGUGUCUCCCUCCCUGUCUUUCCAGAAAUCUCUACCCCAUGUAUUACUCAUAUCAGUUAAGGACAAAACACCACAUCAGCUCCCGAAUUAGAAACUUCAUCCACAUCGGUCAUUCCUCCCUUUACCUUAUUCUUCGCAUCAAAUCCUAUAGCUUCUACCUCUGAAAUACAAAGGUACUCCACCCUCUCCAUUCUGCUCCCGUUGCUAUUACCCUAGUCAUCAUCGUCCCCACUAGGACCAAAGUCCCCCUAGCAGGCAUCUCUACAUGAAAUAUCUUUCCUCCGCCCAUUCCAAACAUUUUGCACCAAAGAAGUUCAUGUUUCUGAAACCUAUGACAUAGCUAUCACUCCCCAUGUAGUAACUUUUAAGUGGUUUCCUGUAACCUACAGGGUAUAAAUUUAAAUUCUCAACGUACUUUCUAACCCCGCCUGAACCUACAUUCCCAGCCUUAUUCCUGGUCACAAAUAACUCGGUAAUUCCCCCCAAAUGCCAUAAGCUUACUCAUCGAUGUUUUGGGCAUUCAGUUCCCCCAACCAGGUUGAGUGAACUCUUGCCAAUAACUUCUUUAGUGCAAAAAAUAAAUUCUUUCUCUGCAAAUCCAUGCCUGGCAACACAUGACUACAACCUCUUUCGAGGUACCCACAUCUUCCUUUGUGCUCCCACUUUGUACCCACCUGUACCCAGACACUUCCCCUAGCAUUCACUCACAGAGUCUUUCAGACGGCAUGUAAAUAAGCAUCCUUAACAGUGCAAAGUAAUAUAAUUCUAAACCCUACCGACCCUAAUAAACCUGCUAACUCUGCACCAACUUCCAGCAUCUAGAACCGUGCCUUGUAUACAAAAGUUUCUCAACAAACGUUCAUUGUUAAAUGAAUGAAUGAAACAUAAAUAACAGCCCUACAUGGAAAUGACCUUCAUCUUAUUUCUCGCGAAGCUGGUCACUGGAAAGCCACAGAUUUGAACCCUAUUCCCAGCUCUGAACCUGCCGUCCAGAAUUUGCUCAUUCACACUUGUAUUAGUCCCAUAUUUAGUAACUAUUUAGUAUCUGUAGUGCACCGUGGCUCUAGGUGCCAGGCAGUAGCAGUGAACAAGACAGACAAUGUCCUGAUCUCCUGCAAUUUAUAUCCUAGUAGGAAAAAAACAAACAAACAAGCUAUAGACAAAUACAGAAGGAGAAUAUAUGGCAUUCUAAUCAGUGAUGAAUAUUAGGGAGGAAAAUAAAGCUUAAAGGGAGAUAGAGUGCUGGGAGCAUGACUAAAGGUUUGAGGGGGGAAAUUCGAAAUAGAGAGGUCGAGGAAUGGCUUAGGGAGGCAUGAUUCUAAUUGGUAAUUCAGGGGUGGCUUCCUACAAAAGCCAAGAAAACAGGAUUCCAAACCUACCUUCCUGGUUCCUUCUCAGAAUAAAAAAGCAGGGAGCGAGGGACAAGGAGGCCUAUGAUACGCAAUCGUGUGAUGUGGGUUUAUAACAAAGGCAAGCACAGUGUCGUCAACCUGGACCCGGAGUUCUAAGUUCUUAAUGCUCUUAGGAGAGCCUCUGGACUUUAUAAGAAAAAGCUUGAAGCCCUACGGCCUUGCCCUUGUGGGGAGCUUUGGAGAAGAGGCUCAGGUAGUUUAUCAGAGACAGGCUUGGACCUGAACUCUCCAGUCAGGUCGAGGCAGGCUUGUAGCGUGGAAAAGCCCAAGGAGCUCAGGGUUAAGAGCGAUGGAAUGAAAAAUGAAUCGGGCAGUAGGCCCAGGCAAGGGGCCUGUUAAAUUUAUCUUUUUCCACUUCACAGGAGACAAAGAACCCAAUCACAAACUAUUUUCUAAAUCAACCACUUCUGAACAUUUUUUCAUAAUUAAAUUCACAUAUACCAUUUUAAAAAACAGUGUCAACCAUUUUUAUGGUGUAAGGCUUACGUAUCUUCAGAAAACACUAUUUCCAGAAUUACUUGCAUAAUGUUAUUUAGUUACAACUAACAAACAUCAUGUGAAAGGAAAGGAAUAUUCGAAUAAUGAAAUAUUACAAUCUCAUUCUCUAGCAAAAUUUAAAUCCUUUAAAUGCCGUAUUUAAUUGUUUUACUGACCUUCUAGAAGGCUUCUUGGAGUUUUUCUUACCUUAUGACUAAAUGGCAGAAAUUAUCAAUGAGAGUAUUGUGACUAAAACUGUGCCCAAAGUCAGACCCAUUUAAAAAAAAAAAAAAA